GAAACUUAAAGUAGAUCCAUUAUGUGCUAUUCGUCCUGUGGAUCUUGUGGAAGCUCUGGUCAAUAUUGUGGAGGCUAUGGACCAUACUGCGGACCUUGUGGAGGCUACGGACUGUACGUUGGUAGGUGAGGAUCAUGCUACGGGGGCUGUGGAAAUUUCUGUUAGAAUCUUCAGAACGAAAUCUAGGAUUUCCCAUAAUAACAAGCUGCCGGACUCUUUUGGUGAAUUCUUUAAUUCUUUGUGAAUGAAAACGCUUUGUCAUAAGUACUCAGCCAUAUUUAUAAUAAUCACAGUAGCCAAAGAAAUUGAAAUUUCUCAAACAUAGCUACGAAGUCAGAAUUAGGACAAAUAAUGUUCAUUCCAAUUUUUAGACUUGUCCAGUAAACAUCUGAACCUUUUUGUGAACUUUUUGUGGGACUUCUCUCGAUUUUAAAAUUUGAAGAGAUAAUUUGAAUAAAAGAAGGAUCCCAGAUAGUACCUAUUUCUGUGAAGAAUCAAAAGUCCACUUUAUUCAAGAUGUGUUAUCCAUGCUAUUCGUGCUGUGGAUCUUGCGGACUUUGCGGAUCUUGCUGUUCACCAUGUUACGGACCUCGUGGCGGCUGUGGACCAUUUUGUGGUCCUUGUGGUGGAUGCGGACCUUGCUAUGGGGGUUGCGGACCGUGCUGCGGGGGUUGUGGAAAUUUCUGUUAGAAUCUUCAGAACGAAAUCUAGGUGUCCCACAAUUAGUAUCGCAGAAACAAUGUAAAUCAACUUCUCUGUGGUGUUCCUGCAUUAAGUUUUCCAAUUGUUGCUUGGCAUUUUUCUGCGUCAAUUUCAGAUUACUUUCGGCAUUGAGUAUUUGCGAUGUCAAAAAUAUUGGUUUGACCUUGAACCCGUGAUCAAUCUAAGUACUCUAGGUUUUGGAUACUUGAGCAUUACAAAACAUAUUAAUAUUGGCUAAGAACAAUAAAAUGUAACAUACGUAGAUUGGUAAAGGGCUGCAUAUGAGCAAUAAAAUAUGACAAUACAACGUACGUAGAUCUGCAUAUAGUGUGAGCGAUUUUUGCUGGUUCAUAUGAGUGUACUAGCUCAGCAAGAGUGAUGUAGACAAUACACAAUAUUAAAUUUUAUGUAAUAAUAGAACAAAAACGCAAAAACGUGUUCAAUAUUAAAACAUCUUAGUAGUACAUGAAAUUGAUAUUCAUAAAACUUAUCUACGAACUAUCCCAGAUAGUACCUAUUUCUGUGAAGAAUCUAAAGUCCACUUUAUUCAAGAUUUGUUAUCCUUGCUAUUCGUGCUGUGGAUCUUGUGGCGGAUGUGGACCAUUUUGUGGUCCCUGUGGUGGUUGCGGACCGUGCUGCGGGGGCUGUGGAAAUUUCUGUUAGUAUCUUCAGAACGAAAUCUAGGUGUCCCACAAUUAGUAUCGCAAAAACAAAAAUAAAAUUUUAAAGUGUCAAAAUAAAUGGAAUAUAAACUCUAAUUUAAUAUUGGUUUGACUUUAAACCCCGUGAUCAUAUUUGCUAAGAAUAAUAAAAUAUAACGUACGUAGAUGUGCAUAGUGAGCGCGGUUUUCCCUAGUUCGUAUGAGAGUGUAUUACAUUAGAUCAGUUAGAGUGAUGUAGAAAAUACACUUAAUAUCAAAUUCUAUGCAGAAAAAGAACAUUGCUUCCUGGUGUGAUGUUCUUCUAAAACGCAUUUAAAUGUUUAAAAAUAAAACUUAAAAUCUUAGUAGUCUAUGAAAUUGAAAUUCAUAAGACUUGGCUACGAUGCUGGAAGAAAUACAAUUAAUGUCCAUUCCAAUUUUUAGGCUUGUCCAGUAAACAUCUGAACCUUUUUGUGAACUUUUUGUGGGACUUCUAUCAAAUGUUUAUUUGUUUUUUGUAACAAAGUAACAUUCAUAAGUUAAAUUGGGAGAUAAUUAGAAGUAAAGACAAGCGAACGAUCCCAAAUAGUACCUAUUUCUGUGAAGAAUCAAAAGUCCACUUUAUUCGAGAUGUGUUAUCCAUGCUAUUCGUGCUGUGGAUCUUGCGGACCCUGCGGAUCUUGCUAUUCACCAUGUUGCGGGCCUUGUGGCGGCUGUGGACCAUAUUGUGGUCCCUGUGGUGGAUGUGGACCUUGCUAUGGUGGUUGCGGACCGUGCUGCGGGGGCUGUGGACCUUGCUGUUAGUAUCUUCAGAACGAAAUCUAGGUGUCCCACAAUUAGUAUCGCAGAAACAAUAUAAAUAAAAUUUUAAAGUGUCAAAAUAAA
Molecule: long non-coding RNA, 2228 nt
Organism: Drosophila nasuta
Lineage: Eukaryota; Metazoa; Arthropoda; Insecta; Diptera; Drosophilidae
Exons: 8
Source: RefSeq, a predicted model, not a curated record